This 60-nucleotide transfer RNA is filed under the name Diopatra cuprea. RNAcentral's name for it is "tRNA-His". Lineage: Eukaryota; Metazoa; Annelida; Polychaeta; Eunicida; Onuphidae. The record is from RNAcentral.
AUAAAAGUAGUUUAUAAAAACACUGAUCUGUGAAUUCAGAAAUGCUUUACGCCUUUUAUC